GCCCACUUAGCUCAAUUGGUAGAGCAAUGGUAUCGUAAACCAUAGGUUGUCGGUUCAAUCCCGACAGUGGGCUC
Molecule: transfer RNA, 74 nt
Filed under: Parcubacteria group bacterium ADurb.Bin316
Lineage: Bacteria
Description: tRNA-Thr
Rfam family: tRNA
About the family: Transfer RNA (tRNA) molecules are approximately 80 nucleotides in length. Their secondary structure includes four short double-helical elements and three loops (D, anti-codon, and T loops). Further hydrogen bonds mediate the characteristic L-shaped molecular structure. tRNAs have two regions of fundamental functional importance: the anti-codon, which is responsible for specific mRNA codon recognition, and the 3' end, to which the tRNAs corresponding amino acid is attached (by aminoacyl-tRNA synthetases). tRNAs cope with the degeneracy of the genetic code in two manners: having more than one tRNA (with a specific anti-codon) for a particular amino acid; and 'wobble' base-pairing, i.e. permitting non-standard base-pairing at the 3rd anti-codon position.
Source: RNAcentral